This is a long non-coding RNA of Pieris rapae (cabbage white), 459 nucleotides long. RefSeq lists it as uncharacterized. The transcript has 3 exons. The record is from RefSeq and is a predicted model, not a curated record. NCBI's taxonomy places the organism in Eukaryota, Metazoa, Arthropoda, Insecta, Lepidoptera, Pieridae.
UUUAUAACGUAGUUAAGUGUUCAAAUACUUUGUGUAUACGUGUAAAAACACUCCUAAUAGUAACAACAUUUAACACAUUAAACGCUACUUACAUUUAUAAAAUGCGGUUUAUUCACUACCUUGCAUGGUGGCAAGACGGAGUCAAUUACAGACUGACAACUAUAUGGCGAAUGGCAUGCUUGAUAAUUGAGUGGAAUCGGUAGCAUAACACGAGCAUGAAAUAUGAAUGUCGAACGAUGACCUUGUUUAUACAGGGUACAUUAGUGUUCAGUAGAUAAAACUCGGCCAAGAGUAAGCAGUACCUACCUAAUUAAAAUAAUCUCAAUACAAAUUAAAAAGACUUUCUUCAUAUGAAAGUUUGAUAAAUUGGUGUCAAAAUAUAAGGCACAACGUCAGCAGGACAACCCAUCGAAAGAAGCCAUUUCAAAAACUCUUGUGGUACUUCUUCACUACUCAAUU